RNAcentral lists this microRNA precursor (113 nucleotides) under Oryza brachyantha (malo sina). Its description in RNAcentral is "mir-395 microRNA precursor family". It matches the Rfam family "mir-395 microRNA precursor family". From Rfam's summary of the family: mir-395 was identified in both Arabidopsis thaliana and Oryza sativa computationally and was later experimentally verified. mir-395 is thought to target mRNAs coding for ATP sulphurylases. The mature sequence is excised from the 3' arm of the hairpin. Lineage: Eukaryota; Viridiplantae; Streptophyta; Magnoliopsida; Poales; Poaceae. The record is from Rfam by way of RNAcentral.
GUGGUCCCAGGAGUUCCUUGCAAGCACUUCACAUAGAGCUUCAAUUACUCUCGUGCAAUACUAGGAGCUUGAAAAAGCUAAUGUGAAGUGUUUGGGGGAACUCUUGGUGCCAA